Molecule: ribosomal RNA, 433 nt
Filed under: uncultured bacterium
Lineage: Bacteria
Description: partial 16S ribosomal RNA
Rfam family: Bacterial small subunit ribosomal RNA
Source: RNAcentral
AACGAACGCUGGCGGCAUGCCUAACACAUGCAAGUCGAACGAGACCUUCGGGUCUAGUGGCGCACGGGUGCGUAACGCGUGGGAACCUGCCCUUAGGUUCGGAAUAACUCCCCGAAAGGGGUGCUAAUACCGGAUAAUGUCUUCGGACCAAAGAUUUAUCGCCUUUGGAUGGGCCCGCGUUGGAUUAGCUAGUUGGUAGGGUAAAAGCCUACCAAGGCGACGAUCCAUAGCUGGUCUGAGAGGAUGAUCAGCCACACUGGGACUGAGACACGGCCCAGACUCCUACGGGAGGAAGCAGUGGGGAAUAUUGGACAAUGGGCGAAAGCCUGAGCCAGCAAUGCCGCGUGAGUGAUGAAGGCCUUAGGGUUGUAAAGCUCUUUUACCCGGGAUGAUAAUGACAGUACCGGGAGAAUAAGCGCCGGCUAACUCCGUG